This 77-nucleotide microRNA precursor is filed under the name Picea abies (Norway spruce). RNAcentral describes it as "miR3699 stem-loop (pab-MIR3699)". Lineage: Eukaryota; Viridiplantae; Streptophyta; Pinopsida; Pinales; Pinaceae. The record is from miRBase by way of RNAcentral.
GUUCCAGCAAAAGGGCAAAGGUGUCUUGUUUCCAGUUGUUUCUUGACAGAAGAUAGACUUUGGUCCUAUGGAGAAAC